Molecule: long non-coding RNA, 509 nt
Organism: Arachis stenosperma
Lineage: Eukaryota; Viridiplantae; Streptophyta; Magnoliopsida; Fabales; Fabaceae
Exons: 4
Source: RefSeq, a predicted model, not a curated record
UCCACCACCGUUCGGGUAACUGGGAACGUGGCGGUGAUCACCGGAACCACCAUCGGAGUUACCGUUAUUUCAGUUCAGCCGUUCAUACUUGUUUGGGAUUGAGUUACGGGCCUUGAUUGCUGAGUUCUAUGGAUGUUGUAUAUGGCAUCAAGGUGCUGCGUUGUCACCGGAGCUGCUGUUGCUCCGUUUGCUCGAUUAUUCGAUUGAGUUAAGGCUGUGUUUAGAGGCUGUGGCUGCUGCGGGGACGGUCGAUAUUGAUGCUGUUGCUGUGGAAUAAGAAUAGAAAUGCAGUUUUCCGCGUAGUUGAAUCACGAACGAGCUUUACCCUUUUCAGGAACCGGAUGAAGAAGCAUUAAGAAGAGAGUUAUAUUGCGUUUGGUUUAUAUGCUGUUGUAUUAUUUAGAUUAUUUUCUUCCCUCGUCUUUAUUAUUACAAGUUUGUAAGAGGGAUAGGAAUUGUAUGUUUUAUAUGUAUAAUAUAUUGAAUUAUUAUGUAAGGAGUUUUGUAUA